CUGCACAAGCUCUCUCUCUUUGCCUGCUGCCAUCCAUGUUGAGAUGUGACUUGCUCCUCCUUGCCUUCUGCCAUGAUUGUGAGGCUUCCCCAGUCACGUCGAACUGAUUCUCAUGAGGACAAAUUAGAGCACCUGUCACUAUAGCCAGCACUCAAGAAAUGGGAUUAUCAUCAGAGGGAAAAAUGCACAGCCUCACCAGCUAUUAAACAUAUGGAAAUGAUGACAAUUUAAAGCUUAUAAAUAACAUUAGCGGUGGCUUGGAUUUAUUGUUGUGGCCUCCGGAAGAACUUGGGCACAGUGUAACUUCCUGGGGCCCGAGGUUGUUAAUCGGUGAAUUGUUCAUGAAGGACAGUGCUCACUGUGAAGGUGGGUGUCCUGGGAUGCUCUGCCUGGCCCGCGGGAGACAAGGCUAUGGUCUGACAUCCCUCAGCCUGUCCUCAUUGUCCUGGCUCUGAGAAGAAGCUACAAAACACAGUAGAAGAAAAAGAAAACAGUCUUUUAAAGACUUGUAAUGAGUUGUUAAUGAUAAAAGUAACACAUGCCAACUGGAAAAAUGUGAAUUUUUUAUCUCAGCCAAAAGUAUAAAGAUACUUCGAUUUCUUUAAAAACUUAUGGAAAUCUGUUGUUGUAUGCAUAGAUUGUUGAAUACAUCUCUGCUUAUUUAAACUCCUGAAAGUCUUAUCAAUGAGGUCAAAAGGCAGGAACAGGUUGUUUGUUGUUGUUGGUUAUUUGUCUUUUUGAGACAGGGUUUUGCUCUGUCACCAAGGCUGGAGUGCAGUGGCGCAGUCACAACUCAUUGCAGCCUCCAUCUCCUGGGCUCAAGCAAUCCUCCCACCUCAGCCUCUAGAGUAGCUAGGACUACAGGUGCACACCACCAUGCCUGGCUAAUUUUUUUUUUUUUGGUAGAGAUAGUGUCUUGCUAUGUUGCCCAGGCUGGUCUUGAACUCCUGGCCUCAAGCGAUCCUUCCAACUUGGCCUCCCAAAGCACAAGGAUUACAGGCAUGAGCCAUUGCACCAAGCAGAAACGUGUUUAAGGCUCUUAAAAAUUAUUAGAAAAUAUUGCUAACUUUUCUUCCAGAAAGGUUUUACCAAUGCAUGCUUUCAUCAGCAAUGUGUAGGAAGUAUUUCAUUGCAGCCUCAGCAAUACUGCAUAUAUUCAUUUCAAAAACAUAGCCAGCUUGCAAAAAAAUGUAUUUGGUGGUAGCAUUUCAUUAAUAAUGAAGUCACAGUUUUUCUAUGUACUGAUUUCUGACUUCUAUGAUUCUAUUUACUUGAAACUGUAGAACAUAUAUAGAGUUUUUUGGAUAUUUCUAUUACGUCUAUAUGUUGUUUUACUUUGUAAGUUCUUUUUUGAGACAGACUCUCACUCUGUCGCCCAGGCUGGAGUGCAGUGGUGGGAUGUCGGCUCACUGCAACCUCCGCCUCCCGGGUUCAAGAGAUUCUCCUGUCUCAGCCUCCUGAGUAGCUGGGACUACAGGCACCCACCACCACACCCAGCUAAUCUUUUUUGUACUUUUAGUAGAGACGAGUUUUCACCAUGUUAGCCAGGAUGGUCUUGAUCUCCUGACCUCGUGAUCUGCCCGCCUCAGCCUCCCAAAGUGCUGGGAUUACAGGAAUGAGCCACUGCACCUGGCCAACUUUGUAAGUUCUUUACUCAUUUUUCUUACAGAGGGUUAAUAUUUUUCUUGUUGAUUUUUAUGAACUCUUUAUAUAUUGAAGAUGUUAACUCCUUAAACACACACACACAGAGAAGAAAAGAUGGAAAGAGGGUCAUAGAGUGGGCAGAUAUUGGUAGGAGGGUAGACAGCAACUUUGAUGUGUACGUUAGCUUCACACUCAGGGUUUGUAAUGCAGUUCUCUCUUUUUUUUUUUUUUUUUUUUUUUUUGAGACUGAGUCUCACUCUGUGUCGCCUGGCUGGAGUGCUGUGGCACAAUCUCAGCUCACCGCAACCCCUGCCUCCCAGCUUCCAGCGAUUCUCCUGCCUCAGCCUCCUGAGUAGCUGGGAUUACAGGUGUGCGCCACCAUGCCCAGCUAAUUUUUGUAUUUUUAGUAGAGACAGGGUUUCACCACAUUGGUCAGGCUGGUCUCGAACUCCUGAUCUCAGGUGAUCCACCUGCCUUGGCCUCCUAAAGUGCUGGGAUUACAGGCGUUAGCCACCACGCCCGGCCUGUAAUGCAGUUCUUAACUGGUGACUCUGGGAGCUGGGCUGUGUUAUCUCAUCUCCAGUAUGUGACAGCCGAGGUCAUGGUGGAGGGAGGAGAAAGAACACUCAGGACAUGACGCCCAGGCCUGGACGUGGCAUGCAUUACUUCCAUCUACAUUCUAUUCACCAGACCCCAGGCCGAUUGUCCCAGUCUAACGGUGCAGAAGGCUGAGAAACAUGACCUUGUGUGCAAAGGAAGGAAAAAGGGAACUGUGAGCCCCUGUUCAUUUUCUGCCACCCUACCCUAACCAUCCUGUGUUAACUUGCGAAACACCCCAGCCCUCUUCACCCCGUCCCUUGUUUGUCUGUGUUUUUCUUUUCCAUAGCCCUUAUUUUUGACAUGCUGUAUAUAUUCAUUUAUUAUGUUAUUGUCAGUCCUCCCCCACAAGAAUAUAAGCUCUGCCAGGUUAGGGAUUUCUGUCAAUUUUGUUCACUGACUCAGAAAAGCACCUGGCAUCAUAUUAGUUAAGCAGACAUUGCCUGGUGCUAUUUCACGGUGCUAAGUGCCCACACGUUUCCCACACUUUCUCUAGCGCAUUCUUCCUCCAUCGCCCGCUCCCAGCACCUGGCCAGGCUUCCAACUUCAGCCCAUGAUCCUCAUCCUGCUUGAAGCCCUCCAUGACCGCACCCCCCCAACCUCCCACAGAACUGAUUGUGCCCUUCUUUGUGACAUGGUCAUGCCUUGUACCAAACUCUACUCUGCAUUUAUCCCACUAUUUUACAAUUGUGAAUUUGUUUGUCUUCCCUAUACAAAAAUGAGCUCCUGUAAGACCUGGCCAAGUUAAAGACGUCAUAGUAUCAGUUGAAUGAAUGAAUGGAUGAAUAAAUAAUUGGAUAGGCCAACCAAUUCUUCACAAUUUGGACAGUUUUUAAAACACCCCAGUGAAGUUUGAAUAUGGACUGGGUACAAAUAACACUGUUAAAUUUGUUAGGAGUAAUAAUGACAUUAGAGUUAUAAUGUAUCUGACAUUCUACAUUAUAUAAUGUAUAUAUACUAUAUUUAUAUGGUUAUAUAAAGUAUAUAUUAUAUAACAGACAUAUAUUUUAUAAUAUAUGUUCAUUGGAGAUAUAUCCUGAACUACAGGUGAACUGAUAAGAUGCCUAAGGUUUGCAAUAAAAGAAAAUGGAAUCAGCUUGGGCACGGUGGCUCACGCGUGUAAUCCCAGCACUUUGGGAGGCCUAGGCCGGUG
RNAcentral lists this long non-coding RNA (3394 nucleotides) under Homo sapiens (human). RNAcentral's name for it is "HSALNT0300349". The record is from RNAcentral. Lineage: Eukaryota; Metazoa; Chordata; Mammalia; Primates; Hominidae.